RNAcentral lists this ribosomal RNA (253 nucleotides) under uncultured bacterium. Its description in RNAcentral is "partial 16S ribosomal RNA". It matches the Rfam family "Bacterial small subunit ribosomal RNA", at positions 524 to 776 of the family's 1533-position model. The record is from RNAcentral.
UACGUAGGGUGCGAGCGUUAAUCGGAAUUACUGGGCGUAAAGCGUGCGCAGGCGGUUUGGUAAGACAGAUGUGAAAUCCCCGGGCUUAACCUGGGAAUUGCAUUUGUGACUGCCCGGCUAGAGUGUGUCAGAGGGGGGUAGAAUUCCACGUGUAGCAGUGAAAUGCGUAGAGAUGUGGAGGAAUACCGAUGGCGAAGGCAGCCCCCUGGGAUAACACUGACGCUCAUGCACGAAAGCGUGGGGAGCAAACAGG